RNAcentral lists this ribosomal RNA (583 nucleotides) under Zhangixalus omeimontis (Omei tree frog). RNAcentral's name for it is "Rhacophorus omeimontis (Omei tree frog) partial 16S ribosomal RNA". It matches the Rfam family "Bacterial large subunit ribosomal RNA", at positions 1796 to 2609 of the family's 2925-position model. Lineage: Eukaryota; Metazoa; Chordata; Amphibia; Anura; Rhacophoridae. The record is from RNAcentral.
UCGCCUGUUUAUCAAAAACAUCGCCUCUUGAUAAAUUAUAAGAGGUCCAGCCUGCCCAGUGAAAAAUUUAACGGCCGCGGUACCCUGACCGUGCGAAGGUAGCAUAAUCACUUGUUCUUUAAAUAAGGACUAGUAUCAACGGCAUCACGAGGGUUACACUGUCUCCUUUCUCCAAUCAGUGAAACUGAUCUUCCCGUGAAGAAGCGGGAAUAUAACCAUAAGACGAGAAGACCCCAUGGAGCUUUAAAUUUUAUAGCAACUCAGUCAAAUAAACCCUUAAAAUCCACAGAGCCAUGCAUGCCAAUUUUAGGUUGGGGUGACCGCGGAGUAAAAAUUAACCUCCACGACGAAAAGAACUAGAUCUUUAUCUAAGAGCUACAACUCUAAGAAUUAGAAUACUAACGACAAUGACCCGAUAAUUGAUCAACGGACUAAGUUACCCUGGGGAUAACAGCGCAAUCUACUUCGAGAGCUCAUAUCGACAAGUAGGCUUACGACCUCGAUGUUGGAUCAGGGUAUCCCAGUGGUGCAGCCGCUACUAAUGGUUCGUUUGUUCAACGAUUAAAACCCUACGUGAUCUGAG